GAGGAGAAGGGGAGGGAGACGGAGACGGAGGCGGCCGCCCGCCCGCCGCUGUGCCUGUCUGAGAGGAAAGAAAAUGGAAACCGCGCUUUUCAGUGGUCCACAAAGGAUUUCCAUUUGUUGAGUGAAAUCAGCUUGAUAGCAUGUCCCUGCACCUCCCUGAUCAGCUACUGCAUCACUGGAAAUGCUUGCAAACCUACCAGAAGAUCAGGCAACUAGAAGGGAGAAAUGUGGGACUCAAGGAUCCUCUGAUAUUCAAACCUACGCCACAUUCCACUUGAAGCACUGAAUGGAAACUCAGAAGUGAAGGCUUAACUGGCAACAGGAAUAAGAAGACAAAAACCUGUAAGCGUGGGAGAAGAAAAGGAGGCAGCAGAAGGACACAGAAAGACUCAGUCUGGCCCUGUAUGGAAUAGGAGAGGUUCAACCACUCCUGGUUCUGGAAAUUUAAUUGCAGAUCCAAGGUUUGCAAAACAAAAGCCUAAUAUGGAGUUUGUUGGCCCCAGGUUACAAGGUGGAAACCUGGAAACCUUAAGAGUCAAUUCAAGCAAACUGGUAAGACUGAGCUGAAAAUAGCGUUGAAAAACAAUUGACAGAAAUUAUUAGUUGAAAUACGUUAAAUUUUUGAUCAUUUAUUUGUUUUAACUAUUUGUUAAUCCUUGGUGUUCUUUCCCUAUUCCUGUUAUUCUUUACCCAUUUGUAAAAAAGGUAAAGAGCAUUAAUAUGCUGAGAAACACGAACAGGCAAAAUGGUAAGUUACAGGGAAGUGCAAAUCGUUUUGCACCUGCAGAUGGGACCUCCAGCCCGACUGUGACUCCAGUGACAGACUUCCCUCUUUUACUCUCAAAUCAUCCAUGCAGUACUUCAUUCCUGCAAAUGUGUAAUGCAGGUAAAUUGUUCCACUGUCUCCAGGAAGACUAGAUUUAACCUCAAGCCUAAUUUUUAUAUUCAGUGGUUACUUAAACCAGUCUGAUUUUUUUCUGCGGUCAAUUUUAGAUAGGAAGAAAAAGGUUGUUCUUUCUGCUACCUCUUAGCUGUGACAAUUCCUUUGAUUCUUUUUCCCUUUAUUUCUCUCUUUGGCCUGAGCUAUAAAACCCAAAAUUGAUAAAACCCUGACUUACAAAGCAUUAUGAUUACAAAAAUAGUCUAAAAUGGACUUGCAAAGCAGGGAGAGCAGAACAGGCUCUUGUGGCUGAGGGGAAGGUAAAAGCAGCAGAAGUUAUGCAAUUAAAAAAGAUACACUGUUAUAUCAGAAUAUAAGUCAGCAGCUGGGAAACUCCAUAGAUUGCAGUGAACAGGCACAAAACAGUCACCAGAGAAUUACUUAGAAGCUGUCCUUCCCAGUUCUGACAGUGAGCAGAGAAGCUGUAUCCUACACUAGAGGCCACAAUUCCCACUCUUAUUCUCACCUGCAUCGUUCAGCCAUUGAUUACAGUAUUGUGCACGAUGCAGAAAAGUAGCAGGAUCCUGAUCUGGAAAUGGGUCAGAUUCAAGCGUGACACAGGUAUUGUAGAGAGCUGCUAGCUCGUGUAACAAAUGGGCUGCAGACUGCAUUGAGCACCUGAAAUAAAAAGGUGGGAGGAUAGCAGAUGAGAUCCUGGUAGAAGCAGGCAGUUUAGCAACUGAAGCCAGGUCGUGCGUUCAACUCAUUAUAGAACCAUCAAUAAAAACGAAUUCAGUUAUAAUUUUUCAGCUUUUGUGAAUAUGCAGCUUCUCUGAAUGAUAUCACCCCUGCAGCACGUUCACAGAUAUAUUCCAAAAAGACCAUAUAGCACCACAAAGAAUAUCCACGUGUAAGCAUAAAGAUAGAGCUUAAAUAUCCACAUGUAAGCAUAAAGAUAAAUAAAAUGACAGCCUUUCUUUCUUGCAGAUUCUUCUGCUACUUGUGCCCUUUCUACUCUUAAGCUCUAUUCAUCAAUAAAUUAAUUCAAGGAAGGAAGAGGGUAAUUGCUUUGCUGCAGCUAAAAACUUCAGCAGAUUUUCCAUAUAUUUCCUUAUAGCCAUAAGGGGGACAACAUAGAUCAUAAACUAGUUAUCAGAAAUUGUGUGGUGUUUUCCUGGCAACUAAAUUAAAGUUAGAGGGGAAGGUUAUCCAUUAAAUGACUUUUCAAGAAGACUUAAAAUGUGGGAUCUAUUUCCAGUUUAGUCUUCUGGGGGCUGGAUUCAGAGGGCUUCUUUUCCUGUUUGUCUCCAAAUCUAUGAGAAUUUUGUUUUCAUGUAUUUCUAUUACCAAACAAAAUGAGCUGUGCAUAAAUAACUGAUGGAACUGAGCUAUCUGGAAGAUUUCCAAUUAAGAUUAGUUUGUCAUUACAUAAACAAAUGUUAAGGAUUUUUUUACUGGUGCUCCAUCAGAGGACAACUUGGAUGGAAGAAUUGCACUUCAGCUCAAGAAAAGAAAUCUGCUGUAUGAACAUAUUCUCUUCUAACAAACAAAAGCUCCUCACACUUCCAGAAGGAAUCAUUCACCACAGUUCCUCUGCAAUAAUGACUGACACUGAAUGCUUGACACAAAGAUGUAAAAUAUGCAGGAUAUUUCAAAAAUAUACCAAUGGAAGGAAUGUCAUAAACCUUGAUCAUGGCAAAGCCUGUACACUUAGAUUAGCCCCCUUGAUUUAAGUGAAGCUGCCUACAAGUGUACAGUUAACUACACAGCUGAGGUUAAACAUUAUCAAAGUUAAAAUUAAAGUCUAGAUCCACUAAAAAUCUUUGGAUUUUUUUGCUAUGGACUUGGAUGUUGUUUUUUUGUUGUCAUUUUGUUUUGUUUUUCUGUACAGACUAGACAGAGAUGAUUUGUGAAAGUUGCAGAAUAAGAAGCACUACAAAAGCAGUAUGAUUUGAUCAUGACUUGUGGCAACAGAGAGAAAAAAAUGUAAAAAUGGUGCAAAUUUCAGUCCUCACACAGAGGUGAGUAGAGUUCCAAAAGGAGUAGUAGAUAGUAAAAGAGAACUGCUACAGAAGCGGUGAAAAAGAUUGAAUUGAAUGUAUUGAAUGUUUUCAUUUCAGUCAAGAGCAAUUCAUAAUUUCCAGAUCAGCAGUUCACAGAAUCACACAGUCACAGCAGGGCUGAGGCUGGCGGGGACCUCUGGGGGCACUGCUCCAACCCCUGCUCAGGCAAGGCCACCCAGAGCAGGGUGCCCAGUCCAGGGGGCUUUUGGAGAUCCCCAAGGAGGGUGACCCCACAGCUUCCAUGGGCAGCCUGUGCCCAUGUUCCUACACCUGCACAGCAAAGCAGUGCUUCUACAUACCUAAGUCAUGGCUGCCUAAUCUUUGCACGAUCAGAAAACUAUGCUUAAAAAACAGUGCUAGUUACCAACUAGCUUAAGGUCUGGAUGUACCACAGAUUCAAAGAAGAAAAUGAAAAACCAUCAAAAAAAUCAACAGAAAAAACAAUUUCAGAAUUUUAGUAGAUACUUUCUGGGCAGAAAGAACACUAAAAGAAUCAGAUCCAUUAUUUAUGGUAAAUUAUCCUCUCACCUGUGCUCAAAAUUCAAUCUAUUGGCAAGUUUGAAGUGACAAAAAAAUUACCUGACUCCUAUUUAGAGAAGCAUCUAAUUUUUGCUUCAUAGGAAGACCUGAAGUGGUGUCUUGAUUCCUCUGCAUACUGUCACAGAACAUGGAUUAAAAGUAAAAAGCAGCUACAAGGAAAGAAAACUUCUCUCUCUUGGGUUUUAUCUUUCAUUUGCAGGUUGUGGCCAGAUAGCUCAUGCCAUAUACAUUCUUUGUUAAUGCAGUGCUGUAUGACCUUGUCCAUAGAUUCUUGCCUACACAUGUUCCUGCUAUAUAAUAGAGUGUCAGAUACGAUGAACGUCAAGGUGUUUCUUUCAUUUGAGAAGAGCACUGUAAGCCACUCCAUUUCCCUCUGUGGUACUCUGCUGAGAAAUGUUUUAGUAUAAACGUUUAAAAGUGCAUACAAAUGUAGAAAUAAAUGGAGAUUUUGGAAUGAACAACAAAAAUUAUUAAAAGCAUGGAUAACCUCUAC
Cygnus atratus (black swan) is the source of this 3976-nucleotide long non-coding RNA. RefSeq lists it as uncharacterized. NCBI's taxonomy places the organism in Eukaryota, Metazoa, Chordata, Aves, Anseriformes, Anatidae. The record is from RefSeq and is a predicted model, not a curated record. The transcript is spliced from 3 exons.